RNAcentral lists this ribosomal RNA (1042 nucleotides) under Saccharomyces cerevisiae (brewer's yeast). RNAcentral describes it as "SSU rRNA". It matches the Rfam family "Eukaryotic small subunit ribosomal RNA", at positions 70 to 1121 of the family's 1831-position model. Lineage: Eukaryota; Fungi; Ascomycota; Saccharomycetes; Saccharomycetales; Saccharomycetaceae. The record is from RNAcentral.
CAUUUUAUACAGUGAAACUGCGAAUGGCUCAUUAAAUCAGUUAUCGUUUAUUUGAUAGUUCCUUUACUACAUGGUAUAACUGUGGUAAUUCUAGAGCUAAUACAUGCUUAAAAUCUCGACCCUUUGGAAGAGAUGUAUUUAUUAGAUAAAAAAUCAAUGUCUUCGGACUCUUUGAUGAUUCAUAAUAACUUUUCGAAUCGCAUGGCCUUGUGCUGGCGAUGGUUCAUUCAAAUUUCUGCCCUAUCAACUUUCGAUGGUAGGAUAGUGGCCUACCAUGGUUUCAACGGGUAACGGGGAAUAAGGGUUCGAUUCCGGAGAGGGAGCCUGAGAAACGGCUACCACAUCCAAGGAAGGCAGCAGGCGCGCAAAUUACCCAAUCCUAAUUCAGGGAGGUAGUGACAAUAAAUAACGAUACAGGGCCCAUUCGGGUCUUGUAAUUGGAAUGAGUACAAUGUAAAUACCUUAACGAGGAACAAUUGGAGGGCAAGUCUGGUGCCAGCAGCCGCGGUAAUUCCAGCUCCAAUAGCGUAUAUUAAAGUUGUUGCAGUUAAAAAGCUCGUAGUUGAACUUUGGGCCCGGUUGGCCGGUCCGAUUUUUUCGUGUACUGGAUUUCCAACGGGGCCUUUCCUUCUGGCUAACCUUGAGUCCUUGUGGCUCUUGGCGAACCAGGACUUUUACUUUGAAAAAAUUAGAGUGUUCAAAGCAGGCGUAUUGCUCGAAUAUAUUAGCAUGGAAUAAUAGAAUAGGACGUUUGGUUCUAUUUUGUUGGUUUCUAGGACCAUCGUAAUGAUUAAUAGGGACGGUCGGGGGCAUCAGUAUUCAAUUGUCAGAGGUGAAAUUCUUGGAUUUAUUGAAGACUAACUACUGCGAAAGCAUUUGCCAAGGACGUUUUCAUUAAUCAAGAACGAAAGUUAGGGGAUCGAAGAUGAUCAGAUACCGUCGUAGUCUUAACCAUAAACUAUGCCGACUAGGGAUCGGGUGGUGUUUUUUUAAUGACCCACUCGGCACCUUACGAGAAAUCAAAGUCUUUGGGUCUGGGGGA